CCAGACUCCUACGGGAGGCAGCAGUGAGGAAUAUUGGUCAAUGGUCGGGAGACUGAACCAGCCAAGCCGCGUGAGGGAGGAAGGUACAGAGUAUCGUAAACCUCUUUUGUCAGGGAACAAAGACUGGGACGCGUCCCCGGAUGAGUGUACCUGAAGAAAAAGCAUCGGCUAACUCCGUGCCAGCAGCCGCGGUAAUACGGAGGAUGCGAGCGUUAUCCGGAUUUAUUGGGUUUAAAGGGUGCGCAGGCGGAGGUGCAAGUCAGUGGUCAAAUUGCGGGGCUCAACCCCGUACUGCCGUUGAAACUGGUAGUCUCGAGUUGGAGAGAAGUAUGCGGAAUGCGCGGUGUAGCGGUGAAAUGCAUAGAUAUCGCGCAGAACUCCGAUUGCGAAG
Molecule: ribosomal RNA, 391 nt
Filed under: uncultured bacterium
Lineage: Bacteria
Description: bacterial SSU rRNA
Rfam family: Bacterial small subunit ribosomal RNA
Source: RNAcentral